GUUGGGGAUAGUUUUAAAAAGAUAACACUGACAUAAAAAUAAGAAAUAUGUGUGGGUUGGAAAGGGGGAUUCAAAGAAAACUUUUUCCUUCCUAGUUAGUACUGGGUAAGACGACGCAUGAACAAGGACAUCGAGUGUCACACGUCUGAUCUCUGUCCUCGAGGGGUGGACACCAUCAGAGGACGGACACAGAUAUGCCAGUUAACGCCACCCCAAGACAACUCGCUGACGAACUCGGCGGGCGUGGGCAGCACCCGGAAGAGGAGGUCUGCCUGGGCUGAAUGCUCUCCAGGCCGGGGGCAAGACGCCGGCCUCAGGGUUCUCGCUUCUCCUUCAGCUCAUUUCUUUGUGUCAAGCCUGUGGCGGCCACUCCCUGCUAUCUCCUCAUCACUUAAACAUGACAGAAGCACAGCAGCACUGCAAGGCAAUCUUGCCAGUUGAAGCUAAGUGCCAAAGAUGGCUGAACAAACAACAAAAGAGCCUGGGAGAGUGACGACAUCAAGAGUCAUCAAUCCUUCGCUACCUAGGAGAGAGGGACAGGGAGAAACAAACUGCACCAGACUAGUGUUUUUCAACUUUCUUUUCAUUACUGUCCCCUUAUUAAACAGCCU
RNAcentral lists this long non-coding RNA (611 nucleotides) under Fukomys damarensis (Damara mole-rat). Its description in RNAcentral is "lncRNA (ENSFDAG00000028338.1)". Lineage: Eukaryota; Metazoa; Chordata; Mammalia; Rodentia; Bathyergidae. The record is from RNAcentral.